This 818-nucleotide ribosomal RNA is filed under the name uncultured Thiobacillus sp. RNAcentral describes it as "bacterial SSU rRNA". It matches the Rfam family "Bacterial small subunit ribosomal RNA", at positions 123 to 984 of the family's 1533-position model. The record is from RNAcentral. Lineage: Bacteria; Pseudomonadati; Pseudomonadota; Betaproteobacteria; Nitrosomonadales; Thiobacillaceae.
AACGUGCCCAUGUCGUGGGGGAUAACGUAGCGAAAGCUACGCUAAUACCGCAUACGUCCUGAGGGAGAAAGCGGGGGAUCUUCGGACCUCGCGCGAUUGGAGCGGCCGAUGUCGGAUUAGCUAGUAGGUGAGGUAAAGGCUCACCUAGGCGACGAUCCGUAGCGGGUCUGAGAGGAUGAUCCGCCACACUGGGACUGAGACACGGCCCAGACUCCUACGGGAGGCAGCAGUGGGGAAUUUUGGACAAUGGGGGCAACCCUGAUCCAGCCAUUCCGCGUGAGUGAAGAAGGCCUUCGGGUUGUAAAGCUCUUUCGGCAGGAACGAAACGGCGGGCUCUAACAUAGCCUGUUAAUGACGGUACCUGAAGAAGAAGCACCGGCUAACUACGUGCCAGCAGCCGCGGUAAUACGUAGGGUGCGAGCGUUAAUCGGAAUUACUGGGCGUAAAGCGUGCGCAGGCGGAUUGUUAAGCAAGACGUGAAAUCCCCGGGCUUAACCUGGGAAUGGCGUUUUGAACUGGCAGUCUAGAGUGCGUCAGAGGGGGGUGGAAUUCCACGUGUAGCAGUGAAGACACUGACGCUCAUGUACGAAAGCGUGGGUAGCAAACAGGAUUAGAUACCCUGGUAGUCCACGCCCUAAACGAUGUCAACUGGUUGUUGGGGGAGUGAAAUCCCUUAGUAACGAAGCUAACGCGUGAAGUUGACCGCCUGGGGAGUACGGUCGCAAGAUUAAAACUCAAAGGAAUUGACGGGGACCCGCACAAGCGGUGGAUGAUGUGGAUUAAUUCGAUGCAACGCGAAAAACCUUACCUACCCUUGA